Hydra vulgaris (swiftwater hydra) is the source of this 744-nucleotide long non-coding RNA. RefSeq lists it as uncharacterized. Lineage: Eukaryota; Metazoa; Cnidaria; Hydrozoa; Anthoathecata; Hydridae. The record is from RefSeq and is a predicted model, not a curated record.
ACUUGUUACAUAACAUACGAGUACUUGUUACAGAGAUUGCCAAAUGGAUUUCAAAACACAGAAUAACUUGAAAUGCAAGUGACGAAUUGUUAACCAUUUACGCCAGUAUAGUUAUAAUGUUGAUUUACCAAAAUGUACAAGGAAAAUUUAGUGUUAGUGAUAUCAUUUUUUAGUUUGUUAGUGAUAUCAUGCCAAAUAAUUGUGAUGAUUUUUAAUAUGAUUUUUUGCAUGAGUAUGAGUUAUUAUUUGCAAAUGGUUUUUAGUAUUAUAUAUAUAACUUCAAUUAAUUCUUGAGAAAAGGUGUUGCUAAUGUGCCAUUAAAAAGUCAGAAAGUGUUAGCAUAACCAUUUUUAAAAAGAUAGAGUCCCUUGAGGAAUUUUAUGAGCUUGAAACCAGAUUAAAAGACAACGGGGAGAACACUUUGUCACCUCAUAAAAGCAGGUGGAAAAAUGUUAAAGAAAAUACAAAAAAUGUUAUGGUCAGAAUUAUGGAGCAUCAUGUUAAGUCCAAGUUCAAUAUAAAAAGCAAAAUUCGUGGUGAUAUAAAGAAGGUUAUCAUUCGAAAAUAAAAAGUUGUGUGAAGCAAUAAUUUUGAAGUCAUCCAGCUAACGCACGAGAGUUCGACGGAAGCAAACAAAAGAUCAAUUAGGAAGCAUUUUAAAGUUCUCUCCAUUAAACAAUUAUUUAUUUUUGAGUUUUUUUGUAAAUUUAUAAUACAAAAGAAUAUAUAAUACAUCUUUAAAAA